This 253-nucleotide ribosomal RNA is filed under the name uncultured bacterium. RNAcentral's name for it is "partial 16S ribosomal RNA". It matches the Rfam family "Bacterial small subunit ribosomal RNA", at positions 524 to 776 of the family's 1533-position model. The record is from RNAcentral.
UACGUAGGUGGCAAGCGUUGUCCGGAAUCACUGGGCGUAAAGCGCGCGCAGGCGGCGAUCUACGUCUGGGGUGAAAGCCCGGAGCUCAACUCCGGGACUGCCUUGGAUACGGGAUCGCUUGAGGAUUGGAGAGGCAAGGGGAAUUCCACGUGUAGCGGUGAAAUGCGCAGAUAUCAGGAGGAACACCGGUGGCGAAGGCGGAUCUCUGGGCCAUUACUGACGCUGAGGAGCGAAAGCGUGGGGAGCGAACAGG